Hemibagrus wyckioides is the source of this 1026-nucleotide long non-coding RNA. RefSeq lists it as uncharacterized. NCBI's taxonomy places the organism in Eukaryota, Metazoa, Chordata, Actinopteri, Siluriformes, Bagridae. The transcript has 3 exons. The record is from RefSeq and is a predicted model, not a curated record.
GGCAGUCUGAUUGCUAUGCUGUUCACACAGCAGUCUUGCCGGAUGCAGACCCCCAAAGUUUGCUUGUGAUUGGCCAGCAGGGGAAAAGAGCAAGAGACCUGCAUCUGCAGUCUACUCACGUCACCUUACUCUGCGCAGCAACACGACAAGGGCUGACGUCAAAUGCAGCUCCUUCACCGAAGGCAAACAUUGCCAGUGAAUGAGAAUGAGAUGGAUGCAGGUGCCUUGGGAAUAAAAGAAGAAGGAAAGAGGCAAAUCCAGGGCUGCUUUGUGAUCCUGACCCCUUGUACUCUACCUGCCUGAUCCACCCUGAUGCCCUCUGUUUGGAGUCUUAGCACUUGGAGGCUGUUUGCUGCAGCUGAUGCCUCCACAUAUACAGCCUGGAGAUACAUGAGAAUACUGUGAAUAGUUCCACUUAGAUUCCAUGGAUCUGGCUUUGGACUGCAACAGUUUUGCACUCAAGUCUCCAUCAGUGAACAUCUAAUCAUUUCAACAUAACAAACUUCAAACUAGAAUGAAUCUAUAAAUUAUACAGUUACAAAAAGGAAAUGAUUUAUAAUCACACUCUCUGGUGUCACCCAGAUGAGGAUGGGUUUCCUUUUGAGUCUGGUUCCUCUUAAGGUUUCUUCCUCAUAUCUUCUUAGGGAGUUUUUCCUCGGCACCGUCACCUCUGGCUUGCUCAUAGGGAUAUAUUAAAAAUAAUUUAUACCCUAUAUUUAUAUAUUUACAGCCUAUACAUUGUUAAAGGUGCUAUGCAUAAAAUUUCAUUGAAUCGAGUUAAGCGGCAUUGUAGGUCAUUACAAAAUAAAUCUUAGAAGAAAUUAAAUCUAAGUACAUAUUAUAAUCCUGUUUUUUUUAUACAGAUUAAUAUCCAAAUCAUUCACUGUGGAUUUUUCCUUUUACCAUGGAUCUAUUUUCUCUUAUUUAAAAUUAUUUAAAUAAACAUUUAAAACUAGUCAUCUCUGCAUGCCAAAAAGUUUUUGCAUACAGUUGUUUGCUGUGCAUUUCAAACAAUAAAGAAGCUUU